AUGCUUCAUAAAUGCCUUGAAGAGCUAUUUGCUAGUAGGAGCAUCCUUGUUGUUGUAGAUGAUCUGUGGGAAGAGAACCCAAAAGAGUUUCAUAAAUUGAAGGUUAUGCUAGGGCUUGGCCUGGGAAGCAAGGUGAUUAUAGUAACUACACGUGAUGGAGGCCUCGCAAGGAAAAUUUGUAGUCCUGCAGUUACACCAUAUAAGCUGGAGACUUUGAGAGUUGAUGAGUGCUGGACUAUAAUUAAACAAAAAGCUGACUUUGAAGGCCGAGUCGACCAAGAACAAUUGGAGCAUAUAGGAAGGGAGAUUGCGACCAAGUGUGGAGGAGUCCCCUUAGCGGCUCAAUCACUUGGAUACAUGUUGAACGGUAUGACUUCAGAUGAUUGGGAGUCGGUGAGAGAUAGUUAUAUCUGGAAUCUAUCAACUUCGGAGGGCCACGAAGUGCUUGCAUCCUUACUGUUAAGCUAUAGCCAGAUGUCUGCUUGGUUGAAGUUGUGCUUUUCCUAUUGUGCAAUCUUUCCAAAAGGUUACAUAAUAGUGAAGUAUGAUCUAAUUUACCAAUGGAUUGCUCUUGGGUUCAUCAAGCAAUCUAGGAUAUUUGAUUUUAUGCAGCUCUCAGAGAAUUAUGUCACACAACUUUUGGGGAUGUCCUUUCUUCAAUAUUCAAAGAGACCUUUGAGGGGUAGAAAUCAAGAGAAAGAUGGUACAUUGUUCACAAUGCAUGACCUAGUGCAUGAUCUCGCAAAAGAGAUCCUGUCCCAUCAACUAAACACUGGAGGAAAUAAGUGCCGCUAUGCAUUGCUCACAGAUUGUAGCAAGUCAUUGCAGUUGUUCGUGAAUUUUCCUGCAAAUAUAAAGGCGCUACGUUUUCAGGACUGUGGCGGACAAGAACUUUGUGGUAGUGCAUUUUCGUCAGCGAAGUGCCUCUCUGUCUUGGAUUUAAGUGAAUGCUUUAUUAAUGAGCUGCCUGAUUGUAUUGGUCAGUUGAAGCAACUACGGUUUCUUCGUGCUCCAGACAUACGUUUGGAGAUUCCCAAUUGUAUCACUGAGCUCUCAGAAUUAAAUUACCUCAACCUUAGAGGCUCUUCUGAAAUCUCAGCGCUGCCGGUGUCAAUUGGUGAUAUGAAAGGUUUGAUGCAUCUUGAUUUAUCAGGUUGCAAUAGAAUAAGUAAACUCCCAAUAUCAUUUUCAGAGCUCAAGCAGCUGGUGCAUCUGGAUUUAUCAAAUUGCAAUAUGUUUUUGGCAGAAACUUUGGGUGGUUGCACCAAACUUCAGUAUCUGAAUUUAUCAGUUCUAAAUUCUACGGGCCAUAAGCGCAUCACAGGGCUGCCAGAGGUCAUUGGCAAUCUAAUUAAACUUAGGUAUUUAAAUCUAUCGCGGUGCGUGGACCUCAUGGGGCCUUGGCCUCCUGAGGCGGAGGAAAUUCACAAGUUGCUUUGUUCUAUCAGUACCCUUUCAAACCUAGAGCAUCUGGACUUGUCCAGAAAUAAUCAGAUUUCCAGUAUACCAGAAAGUAUUGGAAAGCUCACGAAGCUUCAUACAUUGGACCUCUCAAUCUGCUGUAACAUAAAGAAGCUUCCUGAUAGUAUCUUCAAAAUGGUUCGUCUGAAGGUUCUGUCAUGGAUAUAUUGGCCUAAUAGAUUGUCUGAAUCCGCGCUCCCUCGGUUUAAUUUUGUAUCAUUGCCUCACUUUGAGGUGCAGUCUUCAAAUGAUAAAUGUAGCAGUAAUAUCAGCCUGCUACAGCCUACAAAUCCUGAUCAGCUGGACAUAGGUAAACUUGAAAAUGUGAAGUCUGCAGAAGAGGCAACAAGUGUAAAACUCAUAGACAAACAAGCAAUCAGGACUCUAAAAUUUCAAUGGACCCUAGGUGCUGAGAGGUUUGUUGAUGACAAGGUUGUGUUGGAAAAGCUAGUGCCACCAAGCAGUGUAGAGAUAUUGACUAUAGUUGGUUACAGGAGUCACAACAUUCCUGAUUGGUUUAUGGGUAUUAGGCAGUAUCUCCCUAAUCUUUUGGCGUUAACUCUAUGUGAUUUUCCUAACUGCAAUAACCUACUACCACCACUUGGUCUACUACCAAACUUACUAAACCUGAUUCUCGACCGUAUGGAGGGCUUGGAAGAGUGGAACACAACACAUUACAGUGGCAAGGAAGGUUCAAAUGAACCCAUGUUUCCUAAGCUUGAAGAAUUGAAGAUAAAGCAAUGCCCCAAGCUAAGGAUAAGUCUGCCUAGAGCUAGACGCUUGUGGAUACAAGAUUCUGAUAAUAUUCUAUCAUCAUGGGGAGAGGGCUCAACACAUAUCGGUGAUUCCUUCUCUUCUCUAAUGCAUAUCAUCAAGGGGAGAGAACUGCUUGUUUCUGGCAGCAAGGUGCCCAUGCAUCAAUGGAGGUUGCUUUACCACCUCCCUGCCUUCCGUACUUUAAAGAUCAUGGAUUGCACUGAUUUGAGCACCUCACCUGACAUGACCCAACACCUCUCCUCCAUUGACUUACAAUGCCUCAGAUUAUCGUCACUCGACCAGGCAGAACUCCCUAAUUGGUUGGCUAAGCUGACUUCACUACAUGAACUAACUCUGGAUAGGUGCGAAAGCAUGACAUCACUACCGCAGUGGUUAGGAGAAGUUACCUCUUUGAAGAAAAUGGAGGUCAUAUUCUGCCCCAAAUUAGAGAAGUGGUUGAAAUCAAAGGAGAACAAGAGGUUUAUUGCUCACAUAGACAUUACGGUCACGAGAUCACCAUAUCAAUUAUUAUUUUUGGGGGAAGCUUCAGACGAGUCAAAUGAAGAGGACAUAGCAGAGACCAAUGAGGAGACAACCUACAGCCUACAUACUGCAACCGGUUCACAGAGGCCAAUAGAUGACGGUGUCAGCAACCCGAGCUCCCCGCCACCCACCCGGAUGGCGGACACAAUUCCGCAGUCCCGAGCUGCCGCCCUUACCCCGGAGACGCCGCGCCAUCUGCAUCCCUCCCCUGCGGCGCACAACACGAUGCCGUCUACAAAUAUCGCAGCCACCAUGGUGGCACCCAUCAGUGACGACGAUGCCGACAACAUGUCCAUCAUCUGCAUCGGCGACGAUGACAAACUGACUGUCAGCGCGACGGCCAGGCCUGCCCGCCCCACUCCAUGCACCCCGCUCGGCCUCCUUAUGGUAUCGCCCCUAGCCACUUCCCUGGUCGGCGACGGAGCUGAAGGCGUCCUCCCCAGGCCAGGCUACACCCUCACUAACGCCACCUACAACGCCGAUGACGAAGGGCCCCAGCUGGACUCUUCCUCCGGCAGCUGGGCCAGCUUGCAGCGGGCAAGGAAGGGGAAGGGAAAGCAGAGUGAUACGGAUCUCGUCGACCCCGUGGACGUGCCGAUCAUCAGCAAGAAGAUGAGGAGCCUGCUAGAGCUGCAAGAGUUGGAUGUAGAGGCAGGAAGCACGGGGACCGCAGUCAGUGCAAGUUCUCCAGCCGUGUUGAGCUUGGGUCUCAAUGCCGCGGUCAGCGCAAGUGUGAAGCCCCGUUGCUACCGGAGAUCACCGGAGCGCGAGCAGGAGGAUGAUGCCGCUUGUGGAGAGCGGCCACCGGAGCAAACAAAGGAUCCAGAAAAGAGGAACAACAGCGGGACAGAGGAAGAAGGAGACAGGUUCAGUUUCAGAUUUCUGUUGGAUGCCUUCCUUGCUGUGGUUGCUUGCUUUUGUAGUCCCCAAAGCAGACACUAG
RNAcentral lists this ribosomal RNA (3702 nucleotides) under Triticum aestivum (bread wheat). Its description in RNAcentral is "partial small subunit ribosomal RNA". Lineage: Eukaryota; Viridiplantae; Streptophyta; Magnoliopsida; Poales; Poaceae. The record is from RNAcentral.